CCUACGGGACGCAGCAGUGGGGAAUAUUGCACAAUGGGGGAAACCCUGAUGCAGCGAUGCCGCGUGGAGGAAGAAGGUUUUCGGAUUGUAAACUCCUUUUAUCAGGGACGAUAAUGACGGUACCUGAAGAAAAAGCUCCGGCUAACUACGUGCCAGCAGCCGCGGUAAUACGUAGGGAGCGAGCGUUAUCCGGAUUUAUUGGGUUUAAAGGGUGCGCAGGCGGAAGAUCAAGUCAGCGGUAAAAUUGAGAGGUUCAACCUCUUCGAGCCGUUGAAACUGGUUUUCUUGAGUGAGCGAGAAGUAUG
RNAcentral lists this ribosomal RNA (305 nucleotides) under uncultured bacterium. RNAcentral describes it as "bacterial SSU rRNA". It matches the Rfam family "Bacterial small subunit ribosomal RNA", at positions 338 to 661 of the family's 1533-position model. The record is from RNAcentral.